Molecule: ribosomal RNA, 529 nt
Filed under: uncultured bacterium
Lineage: Bacteria
Description: partial 16S ribosomal RNA
Rfam family: Bacterial small subunit ribosomal RNA
Source: RNAcentral
UGGGGAAUAUUGCACAAUGGGCGAAAGCCUGAUGCAGCAACGCCGCGUGAGUGAUGAAGGCCUUCGGGUUGUAAAGCUCUGUCUUUUGGGACGAUAAUGACGGUACCAAAGGAGGAAGCCACGGCUAACUACGUGCCAGCAGCCGCGGUAAUACGUGGGUGGCAAGCGUUGUCCGGAUUUACUGGGCGUAAAGGAUGCGUAGGCGGAUUUUUUAAGUGAGAUGUGAAAUACCCGGGCUUAACUUGGGUGCUGCAUUUCAAACUGGGAAUCUAGAGUGCGGGAGAGGAGAAUGGAAUUCCUAGUGUAGCGGUGAAAUGCGUAGAGAUUAGGAAGAACACCAGUGGCGAAGGCGAUUCUCUGGACCGUAACUGACGCUGAGGCAUGAAAGCGUGGGUAGCAAACAGGAUUAGAUACCCUGGUAGUCCACGCCGUAAACGAUGAGUACUAGGUGUAGGAGGUAUCGACCCCUUCUGUGCCGCAGUUAACACAAUAAGUACUCCGCCUGGGAAGUACGAUCGCAAGAUUAAAA